This 700-nucleotide ribosomal RNA is filed under the name uncultured bacterium. RNAcentral describes it as "bacterial SSU rRNA". It matches the Rfam family "Bacterial small subunit ribosomal RNA", at positions 804 to 1502 of the family's 1533-position model. The record is from RNAcentral.
AAACGAUGUCUACUUGGGAGGUUGUGGCCUUGAGCCGUGGCUUUCGGAGCUAAACGCGUUAAGUAGACCGCNUGGGGAGUACGGUCGCAAGAUUAAAACUCAAAUGAAUUGACGGGGGCCCGCACAAGCGGUGGAGCAUGUGGUUUAAUUCGAUGCAACGCGAAGAACCUUACCUACUCUUGACAUCUACAGAAGCCAGCGGAGACGCAGGUGUGCCUUCGGGAACUGUAAGACAGGUGCUGCAUGGCUGUCGUCAGCUCGUGUUGUGAAAUGUUGGGUUAAGUCCCGCAACGAGCGCAACCCUUAUCCUUGUUUGCCAGCACUUCGGGUGGGAACUCCAGGGAGACUGCCGGUGAUAAACCGGAGGAAGGUGGGGACGACGUCAAGUCAUCAUGGCCCUUACGAGUAGGGCUACACACGUGCUACAAUGGCGCAUACAGAGGGCGGCCAACUUGCGAAAGUGAGCGAAUCCCAAAAAGUGCGUCGUAGUCCGGAUUGGAGUCUGCAACUCGACUCCAUGAAGUCGGAAUCACUAGUAAUCGUGGAUCAGAAUGCCACGGUGAAUACGUUCCCGGGCCUUGUACACACCGCCCGUCACACCAUGGGAGUGGGCUGCAAAAGAAGUGGGUAGUUUAACCUUCGGGAGGACGCUCACCACUUUGUGGUUCAUGACUGGGGUGAAGUCGUAACAAGGUAACCG